RNAcentral lists this ribosomal RNA (735 nucleotides) under uncultured Actinomycetes bacterium. RNAcentral describes it as "bacterial SSU rRNA". It matches the Rfam family "Bacterial small subunit ribosomal RNA", at positions 28 to 774 of the family's 1533-position model. The record is from RNAcentral. Lineage: Bacteria; Bacillati; Actinomycetota; Actinomycetes.
GACGAACGCUGGCGGCGUGCUUAACACAUGCAAGUCGAACGGAAAGGCCCUGCUUUUGUGGGGUGCUCGAGUGGCGAACGGGUGAGUAACACGUGAGUAACCUGCCCUUGACUUUGGGAUAACUUCAGGAAACUGGGGCUAAUACCGGAUAGGAGCUCCUGCUGCAUGGUGGGGGUUGGAAAGUUUCGGCGGUUGGGGAUGGACUCGCGGCUUAUCAGCUUGUUGGUGGGGUAGUGGCUUACCAAGGCUUUGACGGGUAGCCGGCCUGAGAGGGUGACCGGCCACAUUGGGACUGAGAUACGGCCCAGACUCCUACGGGAGGCAGCAGUGGGGAAUAUUGCACAAUGGGCGGAAGCCUGAUGCAGCAACGCCGCGUGCGGGAUGACGGCCUUCGGGUUGUAAACCGCUUUCGCCUGUGACGAAGCGUGAGUGACGGUAAUGGGUAAAGAAGCACCGGCUAACUACGUGCCAGCAGCCGCGGUGAUACGUAGGGUGCGAGCGUUGUCCGGAUUUAUUGGGCGUAAAGGGCUCGUAGGUGGUUGAUCGCGUCGGAAGUGUAAUCUUGGGGCUUAACCCUGAGCGUGCUUUCGAUACGGGUUGACUUGAGGAAGGUAGGGGAGAAUGGAAUACCUGGUGGAGCGGUGGAAUGCGCAGAUAUCAGGAGGAACACCAGUGGCGAAGGCGGUUCUCUGGGCCUUUCCUGACGCUGAGGAGCGAAAGCGUGGGGAGCGAACA